UUCCGGUUGAUCCUGCCGGAGGUCACUGCUAUCGGUGUUCGACUAAGCCAUGCGAGUCAAAUGUUCUUCGUGAACAUGGCGUACUGCUCAGUAACACGUGGAUAACCUGCCCUUAGGUCUGGCAUAACCCCGGGAAACUGGGGAUAAUUCCGGAUAGAUCAUGGAUGCUGGAAUGCACCGUGGUCGAAAGCUUUUGUGCCUAAGGAUGGGUCUGCGGUCUAUCAGGUUGUAGUGGGUGUAACGUACCUACUAGCCUACGACGGAUACGGGUUGUGGGAGCAAGAGCCCGGAGAUGGAUUCUGAGACAUGAAUCCAGGCCSUACGGGGCGCAGCAGGCGCGAAAACUUUGCAAUGCGGGAAACCGCGAUAAGGGGACACCGAGUGCCAGCAUCCUAUGUUGGCUGUCCAUAUGUAUAAAUAACAUGUGUUAGCAAGGGCCGGGCAAGACCGGUGCCAGCCGCCGCGGUAACACCGGCGGCCCGAGUGGUGGCCACUAUUAUUGGGUCUAAAGGGUCCGUAGCCGGUUUGGUCAGUCUUCCGGGAAAUCUGACGGCUUAACCGUUAGGCUUUCGGGGGAUACUGCCAGGCUUGGGACCGGGAGAGGUAAGAGGUACUACGGGGGUAGGAGUGAAAUCUUGUAAUCCCUGUGGGACCACCAGUGGCGAAGGCGUCUUACCAGAACGGGUCCGACGGUGAGGGACGAAAGCUGGGGGCACGAACCGGAUUAGAUACCCGGGUAGUCCCAGCCGUAAACUAUGCUCGCUAGGUGUCAGGGACGGUGCGACCGUUUCUGGUGCCGUAGGGAAGCCGUGAAGCGAGCCACCUGGGAAGUACGGUCGCAAGGCUGAAACUUAAAGGAAUUGGCGGGGGAGCACUACAA
This 880-nucleotide ribosomal RNA is filed under the name Methanomethylovorans sp. enrichment culture clone AM1. RNAcentral's name for it is "bacterial SSU rRNA". It matches the Rfam family "Archaeal small subunit ribosomal RNA", at positions 1 to 884 of the family's 1478-position model. The record is from RNAcentral. Lineage: Archaea; Methanobacteriati; Methanobacteriota; Methanomicrobia; Methanosarcinales; Methanosarcinaceae.